Molecule: RNA transcript, 1526 nt
Organism: Lucilia cuprina (Australian sheep blowfly)
Lineage: Eukaryota; Metazoa; Arthropoda; Insecta; Diptera; Calliphoridae
Gene: Hibch
Gene name: 3-hydroxyisobutyryl-CoA hydrolase, mitochondrial
Exons: 5
Source: RefSeq, a predicted model, not a curated record
AUUUUUUUUUAAUUAUCUGGCAACCUGACAAAUAAGACAAAGCAAGAAUUUUGCAAAAUUUUCGGUUUCAGUUCUCCCGAGAAUUUCGAUUGCGCAACCUCGUUGAACUUGGAGAGAAAUAUAAGAAUCCGACGUGCAAUAUGACCAUUCAACGUAUUAUUUACGCUUUUGGACAUCGUACCUUGCCUUUGUUGGCAAAUAAUAGUCCUAUUAGUGCACAAGCCAUAAGAAAAAUGUCGGCAUCAGUUUUGGCUACAGAAUCCUCGGACAAAGGCAUGAUUAUUUUAAAUCGUCCUAAAGCUUUGAAUGCCAUCAAUUUGGAUAUGGUCCGCAAAAUCUACAAACAUUUAAAGAAAUGUGAAACCACAAAGUCUUUGAUGAUUAUUAAGGGUACCGGCGAGAAAGCUUUCUGUGCUGGCGGUGAUGUACGUGCUGUGGUCGAGUCUGGCCCCAGUGAGGAGUCAAAAAGUUUCUUCCGUGAAGAAUACACUACAAAUGCCUUAAUUGGCAACUACACCAUACCCUAUAUUGCCCUUAUCGAUGGCAUUACCAUGGGUGGUGGUGUUGGUUUGUCUGUUCAUGGCAAAUAUCGUGUGGCCACCGAACGUACAUUAUUUGCCAUGCCAGAAACAGCUAUUGGACUGUUUCCCGAUGUGGGUGGCUCAUAUUUCUUGCCACGUUUGCAGGGCAAAUUAGGUCUCUACUUGGGUCUUACCGGUGUUCGUCUAAAGGGCGAAGAUGUUUUCAAAGCAGGUAUUGCUACCCAUUACUGCGAAAGUUCGAAAAUAGCUGAAUUGGAAACAGCUUUACUUAAUUGCCCUGACGCUGAAGAAGUACCAGAAAUUUUAAAUAAAUUUAAUAAUCCUUCACCAAAACCUUUUGUUUUGGAAUCACACUUGGAUCAAAUCAAUAAAUGUUUUGCCGGUGAAAGUGUAGAAGAAAUUAUUGAAAAUCUCAAGAGUGAUGGUAGUGAGUGGGCAACAAAAACUAAGGAGGUUCUACUUAAAAUGUCACCCACCUCAUUGAAAGUAACAUUCCGUCAAUUGGAGUUAGGAGCUAAAUUAUCUUUGCCACAAUGUCUAAAUAUGGAAUACCGUAUUGUGGUGCGUCAUUUGGAGAACAGUGACUUCAAAGAAGGUGUACGUGCUCUACUCAUUGACAAAGAUCAAAAGCCCCAAUGGAAUCCCAAGACUUUAGAAGCCGUAACUGAAGAACGUGUACAAUCGUUCUUUGCCAAAUUGCCCGAUACCGAAGAAUUAAAAUUGUAAAUUAAAUGAAAGUUUUGCUUUUGAGUUUUGUAACAGAUUAUUAUUGCUUGUUUUUCGAGUUACUUUUUUUUUUGUUUACUUUCUACAUGUUUUGUGGCAAACUUGCAAGUUACUAAGACCAAAUAAAUUUACACUCUGAAUAUCUACAUAAUUAACCAUUAAAAAAACGAAAACUGUGUACCAGGAUAUCAUGCAUUUACAUAAUUAAAAAAAAAAUUAAAUGUUGCAAAAUAUGCUAAACAUUUAUUUUCGUCAACA